GACGAACGCUGGCGGCGUGCCUAAUACAUGCAAGUAGAACGCUGAAGGAGGAGCUUGCUCUUCUGGAUGAGUUGCGAACGGGUGAGUAACGCGUAGGUAACCUGCCUGGUAGCGGGGGAUAACUAUUGGAAACGAUAGCUAAUACCGCAUAGCAGUAGAUGUUGCAUGACAUUUACUUAAAAGGUGCAAUUGCAUCACUACCAGAUGGACCUGCGUUGUAUUAGCUAGUUGGUGGGGUAACGGCUCACCAAGGCGACGAUACAUAGCCGACCUGAGAGGGUGAUCGGCCACACUGGGACUGAGACACGGCCCAGACUCCUACGGGAGGCAGCAGUAGGGAAUCUUCGGCAAUAGACGGAAGUCUGACCGAGCAACGCCGCGUGAGUGAAGAAGGUUUUCGGAUCGUAAAGCUCUGUUGUAAGAGAAGAACGAGUGUGAGAGUGGAAAGUUCACACUGUGACGGUAUCUUACCAGAAAGGGACGGCUAACUACGUG
RNAcentral lists this ribosomal RNA (495 nucleotides) under uncultured bacterium. Its description in RNAcentral is "partial 16S ribosomal RNA". It matches the Rfam family "Bacterial small subunit ribosomal RNA", at positions 28 to 507 of the family's 1533-position model. The record is from RNAcentral.